UGGGGAAUUUUGGACAAUGGGCGAAAGCCUGAUCCAGCAAUGCCGCGUGUGUGAAGAAGGCCUUCGGGUUGUAAAGCNCUUUUGUCCGGAAAGAAAUCCUUGGCUCUAAUACAGUCGGGGGAUGACGGUACCGGAAGAAUAAGCACCGGCUAACUACGUGCCAGCAGCCGCGGUAAUACGUAGGGUGCAAGCGUUAAUCGGAAUUACUGGGCGUAAAGCGUGCGCAGGCGGUUUGCUAAGACCGAUGUGAAAUCCCCGGGCUCAACCUGGGAACUGCAUUGGUGACUGGCAGGCUAGAGUAUGGCAGAGGGGGGUAGAAUUCCACGUGUAGCAGUGAAAUGCGUAGAGAUGUGGAGGAAUACCGAUGGCGAAGGCAGCCCCCUGGGCCAAUACUGACGCUCAUGCACGAAAAGCGUGGGGAGCAAACAGGAUUAGAUACCCUGGUAGUCCACGCCCUAAACGAUGUCAACUAGUUGUUGGGGAUUCAUUUCCUUAGUAACGUAGCUAACGCGUGAAGUUGACCGCCUGGGGAGUACGGUCGAAGAUUAAAACUCAAGGAAUUGACGGGGUCAUAGCUGUUUCCU
This 584-nucleotide ribosomal RNA is filed under the name uncultured bacterium. RNAcentral's name for it is "partial 16S ribosomal RNA". It matches the Rfam family "Bacterial small subunit ribosomal RNA", at positions 355 to 1375 of the family's 1533-position model. The record is from RNAcentral.